RNAcentral lists this ribosomal RNA (1790 nucleotides) under Durio zibethinus. RNAcentral describes it as "SSU rRNA". It matches the Rfam family "Eukaryotic small subunit ribosomal RNA". Lineage: Eukaryota; Viridiplantae; Streptophyta; Magnoliopsida; Malvales; Malvaceae. The record is from RNAcentral.
ACUAGUUGAUCCUACUAGAAGUCCUAUGCUUGUUUCAAAGAUUGAUUAAGCCAUGCAUGUGUAAGUAUAAACUAAUUCAAAUGAUGAAACUAUGAAUGGCUUAUUAAAUUAGUUAUAGUUUGUUUAAUAGUAUUUAUUACUCAGAUAACUAUAGUAAUUCUAGAGCUAAUAUGUGCAACAAACCCUACCUUCUAGAAGGGAUGCAUCUAUUAGAUAAAAGGAUGACAUGAGCUUUGCCCGUUGCUCUAAUAAUUCAUGGUAACUCAACAAAUUGUAUGGCCUUUGUGCCAGUGACACAUCAUUAAAAAUUUUGCCCUAUCAACUUUUGAUGGUAGGAUAGUGGUAUACUAUGGUGGUGAUGGUUGAUAAAGAAUUAGGGUUUGAUUUCAGAAAGAGAGCUUGAGAAAUGGCUACCACAUCCAAGGAAGGCAGUAGGCAUGCAAAUUACCCAAUCUUGACAUAGAGAGGGAGUGAUAAUAAAUAAUGAUACUAGCCUCUAUGAGUCUAGUAAUUGGAAUGAGUACAAUUUAAAUCUCUUAAUGAGGAUCCAUUGGAGGGUAAGUUUGGUGCUAGUAGCCAUGGUAAUUCUAGCUCCAAUAGGGUAUAUUUAAGUUGUUACAGUUAAAGAGCUUGUAGUUGAAACUAGGAUUGGGUCGUUCGAUCCACCUCACGGUGAGCACCAGUUUACUCGUCCAUAUUGUUGGCAAUGUGCUCUUGGCCUUAAUUAGUCAAGUCGUUCCUCUAGAGCUAUUACUUUGAAGUAAUUAAAGUGCUCAUAGUAGGUUUAUGCUUGUAUACAUUAGCAUGGGAUACCAUCAUAGGAUUUCAUUCAUAUUAUGUUGGCCUUUGGGAUCAGAGUAAUGAUUAAUAGGGAUAGUUGAAAGCAUUUGUAUUUCAUAGUCAAAGGUGAAAUUCUUGGAUUUAUGAAAGAUGAACAACUAUGAAAGCAUGGCAAAGAUGUUUUCAUUAAUCAAGAACAAAAGUUGGGGGCUCGAAGAUGAUCAGAUACCAUCCUUGUCUCAACCAUAAACGAUGUUGACUAGGGAUCAGUGGAUGUUACUUUUAGAACUCUACUAGCACCUUAUGGGAAAUCAAAGUGUUUGAGUUUCGGAGGGAGUAUGGUUGCAAGGUUGAAACUUAAAUGAAUUGAUGGAAGGGCACCACUAGGAGUACAACUUGUAGCUUAAUUUGACUCAACAUAGGGAAACUUACUAGGUCCAAAAAUAGAAAGGAUUAAUAGACUGAAAGCUUUUUCCUGAUUCUAUGGGUGGUGGUGCAUGGUAGUUCUUAGUUUGUGAAGCAAUUUGUCUAGUUAAUUCCAUUAAUGAAUGAGACCUCAACUUGCUACUAUCUACAUGGAGUUGAUCCUUUGUGUCUAGCUUCUUAGAUGGACUAUGGUCACUUAAGCCAAGGAAGUUUGAGGCAAUAACAAGUUUGUAAUGCCCUUAGAUGUUUUGGGUUACACACAUGCUACAUUAAUGUAAAAACAAGUAUGUAGCCUUAGCUGAUAAGCUCGGGUAAUCUUUGAAAUUUCAUCAUGAUGGGGAUAAAUCAUUGCAACUGCUAGUCUUUAAUUAGGAAUUCCUAGUAAGCAUGAGUCAACUUGCAUUAACUAUGUCCUUGCCCUUUGUACCACUCAUUGCUUUUACCGAUUGAAUGUUCCAAUUAAGUGUUCAAAUCACAGCAACAUGGAUGGUUUUUUGGCCAUGACAUCAUGGGGUCCACUAAACCUUAUCAUUUAAAGAAAGGAAAAGUCAUAAACAAGGUUUCCAUAGGUGAACCUAUGGAAG